This 4178-nucleotide long non-coding RNA is filed under the name Homo sapiens (human). RNAcentral describes it as "HSALNT0296470". The record is from RNAcentral. Lineage: Eukaryota; Metazoa; Chordata; Mammalia; Primates; Hominidae.
CUAUUCUAAAAAAUUGAGCAGAAAGGACUCCUUCCCAACUCAUUCUAUGAGGCUAGCAUCAUCUUAAUGGUAAACUUUCAAUGACUCUCCACCACCAAGAGGAUGAAUUUCUAUCUCCUUAGAAUGGCAUAUAAAGCCAUUUGUGAUUUGGCCCUGGCUUCCCUCUCCACUCCAGCAGCUGUACUUAAGUACUUGUAGGUCCCUUAGGGAGCCAUAAUUUGUGGCAUUUUUACAUGUUACUUCCUUGGCAUAUAUAUUUUAUUUUAUUUUUGUCAGGCCCACACCACUUAGAUGUUGCUGACUCUAGUAAAGCUUCCCUUACUCCCCAGGUGCUGGGCUAAGUACCCCUAUUCUGGGAACCCUUCUGCUUACCAUAUCACAGCACUUCCGUGACUUCAUAAUCGUCUGUUUACUUGCCAUUUCCUCUAUUAAAUUCUGAGCUCCCUGAUGGGAGUAUUCAUGGUUAGAGUCUCAGUCUCUAUUACGGGCCCUAGUACACUUCAGGAACUCAAAAGCUUUGCUGAUAUAAUGCAAGGUGAUAAAAAAGUAGAAAGACUUGGGAUAAUCUUGAUUUCUGAAGGCAUCAAACGGGAAUUAGAGAAAGCAGCAGGAAAAACGAAGGCCUUUUUAAGUUCCAUGAGAACUACGGUUUGCAAGACUGGUCAAAACAGUACAAUGCAAGCGGCAAGAAUCAGGAAGUGCACAGAAACAAGAAGCUCGGUGCACACUGGGAUCAGGCAAGCAUCUGGGAGAAGACUGUAGCAAGACUGGAUCCUGAGAAAUAUACAGAGUUCAGAGGCUCCAUGGCUACACUUUGGGCAUGUAUGUCAUUACAGGAAUGAAAAAAAGAUGAUGGCCAAAUGCUGUAUUAAAAUCCCAUUAGAAAUGCCGGGAGAAAUUUAUGGCCCCAAUCUCUUUUAUCUGACAGUUCCCAUGUGAUCCAUCAGGCUCUGAACAUGAAUUUUAAUGGGCUCAGAACCACUUCUCUACCCUGAGGUCACAGGCUGUCAGAGUGAAUCUUCCACAAACUGAUUGGAACCUGAAGAAUUUGCUCUGUCAAGAGAGGAAAAAAGGCAUAAACCUUAGGUGGUAUGGAGAAUGAGGAAAGGGGAGGAGAAGGAGAAAUCCAAAAGAUAGGUGGAAAACCAUGGGAGCAAAUCAAGGCAGGAAAUCAGAGAAAUCAAAGCCAGAGAGCAUCUCAGGAAGAGCUGAUGGCUACCAGCACUGAAUACCACAGAGAUUAUUACAUCGCAAGACAAUGCAUCGCUCCAGCAAGGAUAACAAAGCGAAUGGGAAGGAAAGGGUUAUGAAGAGUUCAUGGAAGGCACCUUAGGCAGACUACUUUUAGGAAAGAGUGGAUGUGGAAGCUAAGUAUCUGGAAAUUGAUUUCCUUAGAACAGUUUGUGUUUGCAUGUCUUCUGAAAGGUUUUAUGUACUCCCAAGAGUAAGUAUACCUGUUUGAAGAAGCUGCUCAAUAUAGUUCUUAAAAUAGUCUACAAACAUGUUACCCCAGCAUAGUAAGAAAUAGGAGUACAGCCAGAAAUGAGAGUGGGAAUGAUUAGAGAGACCUCUUUGAGGCCUUGGUCGUGGGCAGGAGCACAGUGGGCCGGGCUCUUUCUAGAUGUGCUUUAAUCAUCAGGAAUUCUGAUACAAUUAUAUUUUGACUAUGAUAUAUAAGCUUCAUUUGAUUACUGUUGCCAAAUAUUUUUUGCUCUUCACGAAGUAAACCUCUUUUUAAAACUUUUUAACUGGCAAAUAAUAAUUGCAUCUAUUUAGGGAGUACAUUGUGAUGUUUUGAUACAUGAUUACAUUGUGGAAUGAUUUAAUCAAUCUACUUAAAUUUAGUGAAAAUAACUUAAGCUAUUAAUCUCAGCCUUGGUGGCUUCUCCUAAUUUAUGCUUACACAAGAGGCUAUCUUCAUUGUGAAAUGUCACAGACUCUCACAAGCAAGAGAAGAAAAUGUAGAGAAGCCCCUCAAAUAAAAUGCAUUAGGUUAAUUCAUACCGACAAAUGUGACACACUUAAAAUUGUUCCUAACAUCAGUUCAUGAUUUAUUUCAAAAGUUCUUAAUAUUCAAAAAUGCUCAAUAAUUUAAAGUAUUUCAAUGUAUAUAGCAAAUAAACCCUGCUAUUAAAACAAAAGAAUCAGGUUCAUUUCAGAAGAGUGAAAACUAGCAAGAUCUUACUGUAAAUCAACUGUUUGUUUUCAAUUAUUUGGCAUGAGAUCUUACAUAUUUUUAACCCAUGUUUUAAUUCUCGUAGAUACCCUGUUGCAAAAGUUCUGAAACAUUGUGAGAAAAAGUGUUUUUGUAGCACUUUGGCAAUGGGAGCCUCACUUCACUCUGUUAUGUAAUGUCCCAUCCAGUUUUUAGUUAAACCUGGAAACACCUUUGUCCUUAGGUGAAGCAGCAAGUCUUGCUUAAGCAAAGCUGGUGAAAUCAGAGCCUGGUCCAAGGCUCAGAAGCGUUUGCGGGGAAAAGCAAACACUUUUUGUGGGAGAAGGAAACAAAGGAGAAGAGAGGAGGAGGAAGAAAUUGAAAAAGAAGGGGAAGAGAAGAGGAAAAGAAAAAGAGACGUUGAGAGAAAGAAAAACAGAGAGCUGUGUGUGAUUGGAUGCCAUGACUCCUCAGUCUUAGUGCUAAUGCCGUUGUUACCUAACUCUAUUUAGGGAACUUUCCAGAACAAAGCGAAGCUUUGUGGGCCUGGCUUUCAGAACUUAUGCAACAAUUGUUUUGGGAGCAGACUGAAAAUUUUACAAGAGAACUGAGUUUUCAAGAGACUGACGGUGUGACCAAAAGAUCAAAGGUUUGGUGCAGUGGGACUAAGUUUCAGGCAGCCUUUCAAAUUGUGAAGACUUUCCUCCCUGUUAUGGCAGUUAAGACAUGUGAAAAUGGUAGUUCGAGACACUUAUAAGCAACUUUCUUCUUAGUUCACAAUGUUCCAUGAAUGUCAGUGCCCUCCAAACUCACGAGAACAAAGCAGGCAACCAGGAUGAUUACUCCCAAAUCAUUGAUAAAAGGAGAGAGAAGUACAGAGAUACACAGUGAUUUGUGUGGGUUGCCAAAAAGUUGCACGGAGGAAACACAGAUAAAUUAAAUACUGGUUAGCAAUCUUUAAUAACCAGGAGAUGCUUAACAUUUAUUUAGAAAUCUGCAACAUUUUAUAAAUCAUUGUUUUGGCUUCUGGGACAAACUCAGAAUCUGGAACCCACGGAAACCCUUCAGUUACACAAAGGCUUUCCAGUUCAUUGCUACUGCACUGAAGAACAGUCUUCACAACUAUACCUGGAACUUACUAGGCCAAGAAGGCAAGGCGUUGGUAUGUGUUUUUAUUGUAGUUAAACUUAUCUGGAUUUAAAAGGCAUUAACUAUCUUCUGAUUUCUUCCUUUUUCUUCAAUUGUACAAGAGUGUUUCAAUUGAAUAUUGCAACUGAAGACAUUCACUCUGCGUUGAUCACCUAUGGAGUGAUCAAAUUUCAACCCUUUGAAGUUUCCUAAAUGAAAGAGGCACUCUGAAUUCAAAGGCUGUUUGAAUGAACUGACUGCUUCAGCACUGUCUUGUAGAUAUAGUCCAUUCAAAUAAAAGACAAAUAUCUGACUGAAUUUUGUUAGCACGUUAAGACAUGUAUUAUAAAAAGGUUUAAGAAGAAAAUAAUGGCCACAAUUCUUCAGAAAACAUGUGAACUAAUGUGACAAAACACUGUGGUGUUGCAAACUCAAGUGCUGCUCUGGCCAAGUCACCUCGCUGAAAUCUCCACUUCCACUUGUGCAACCUACCAAGCCACUCUCUACACAGCUGCCAGAGUGAUUACAAAAACAACGCGGGAUUAUGCUACCCCUGCUUAUCUAAAAUUUGUCAAAAUGCCCGUUACACUUUGAAUAAAAUACAGAUUCCUCUCAGAUCUCAUUUCUUAUCAUGUCUUUCUCAAUCAUUAUGUUCCAGCCUCACUGACCUUCUUUCUGUUCCUGUAAAAUAUUCCUGCCUCAAGGGCGCAGGCCUACGACCUGCAGUUCUCUUUUUCCCACAUGUGACCAGGCUCUCUCUUAGCCAUCAGGUCUCAAAUAAGCUCUUUCCGUUCUGUCUAGGCAUCUUAUCAAAAUCAACCUGUGUAUUAUUAUUCAUUUAUCACAUAAUCUUGUUUUAUUUUCCUCAUAGCACUCUCACUUUCUGAAAUUAUCU